This 524-nucleotide ribosomal RNA is filed under the name uncultured bacterium. RNAcentral describes it as "partial 16S ribosomal RNA". It matches the Rfam family "Bacterial small subunit ribosomal RNA", at positions 28 to 523 of the family's 1533-position model. The record is from RNAcentral.
GACGAACGCUGGCGGCGUGCCUAAUACAUGCAAGUCGAGCGCAGGAAAUCGACGGAACCCUUCGGGGGGAAGUCGACGGAAUGAGCGGCGGACGGGUGAGUAACACGUAAAGAACCUGCCCUCAGGUCUGGGAUAACCACGAGAAAUCGGGGCUAAUGCCGGAUGGGUCAUCGGACCGCAUGGUCCGAGGAUGAAAGGCGCUUCGGCGUCGCCGGGGGAUGGCUUUGCGGUGCAUUAGCUAGUUGGUGGGGUAAUGGCCCACCAAGGCGACGAUGCAUAGCCGACCUGAGAGGGUGAUCGGCCACACUGGGACUGAGACACGGCCCAGACUCCUACGGGAGGCAGCAGUAGGGAAUCUUCCACAAUGGACGAAAGUCUGAUGGAGCAACGCCGCGUGAACGAUGAAGGCCUUCGGGUCGUAAAGUUCUGUUGUAAGGGAAGAACAAGUGCCGCAGGCAAUGGCGGCACCUUGACGGUACCUUGCGAGAAAGCCACGGCUAACUACGUGCCAGCCGCCGCUGUAA